RNAcentral lists this ribosomal RNA (207 nucleotides) under uncultured bacterium. Its description in RNAcentral is "partial 16S ribosomal RNA". It matches the Rfam family "Bacterial small subunit ribosomal RNA", at positions 568 to 774 of the family's 1533-position model. The record is from RNAcentral.
CACGUAGGCGGCGAUUUAAGUCAGAGGUGAAAGCCCGGGGCUCAACCCCGGAACUGCCUUUGAGGCUGGAUUGCUUGAAUCCUGGAGAGGUGAGUGGAAUUCCGAGUGUAGAGGUGAAAUUCGUAGAUAUUCGGAAGAACACCAGUGGCGAAGGCGGCUCACUGGACAGGUAUUGACGCUGAGGUGCGAAAGCGUGGGGAGCAAACA